UACGUAGGGGUCUAGCGUUGUCCGGAAUCAUUGGGCGUAAAGAGCUCGUAGGCGGUCUGUCGCGUCGGCUGUGAAAACCCGGGGCUCAACCCCGGGCCUGCAGUCGAUACGGGCAGACUAGAGUGUGGUAGGGGAGACUGGAAUUCCUGGUGUAGCGGUGAAAUGCGCAGAUAUCAGGAGGAACACCGGUGGCGAAGGCGGGUCUCUGGGCCAUAACUGACGCUGAGGAGCGAAAGCGUGGGGAGCGAACAGG
RNAcentral lists this ribosomal RNA (253 nucleotides) under uncultured bacterium. RNAcentral describes it as "partial 16S ribosomal RNA". It matches the Rfam family "Bacterial small subunit ribosomal RNA", at positions 524 to 776 of the family's 1533-position model. The record is from RNAcentral.